UUCUGCCUGUUAGAGGGAGGGUCUUCUUUUCUUCUGUUGCCAGAAUUGGGAUCCACACCAGCCCCAUCACCACAAACAGCAGCCCUACGGACACACAGGCAGAGGCUACAGAGUGGGACGCUUCAGACGACUGGAGCAGGAAGAGGAGUCCACCUGCCGCACACAUCAGUGAUCCCAUCACCAACACAAUGAUAGGCUUGUGAAG
Non-coding RNA from Labrus bergylta (ballan wrasse), 205 nucleotides. The record is from RefSeq and is a predicted model, not a curated record. Lineage: Eukaryota; Metazoa; Chordata; Actinopteri; Labriformes; Labridae.